CGACCUCAAAUCAGGUAGGACUACCCGCU
This 29-nucleotide non-coding RNA is filed under the name Lodderomyces parapsilosis. Lineage: Eukaryota; Fungi; Ascomycota; Pichiomycetes; Serinales; Debaryomycetaceae. RNAcentral also lists the same sequence under 1 other name. The record is from RNAcentral.